GCCUGGGUGGCUCAGUCAGUUAAGUCUCUGACUUUGGUUCAGGUCAUGAUCUCACAGUUCAUGGGUUCAAACCCCAUACCAGGCU
Molecule: transfer RNA, 85 nt
Filed under: Felis catus (domestic cat)
Lineage: Eukaryota; Metazoa; Chordata; Mammalia; Carnivora; Felidae
Also listed under: 2 other names
Rfam family: tRNA
About the family: Transfer RNA (tRNA) molecules are approximately 80 nucleotides in length. Their secondary structure includes four short double-helical elements and three loops (D, anti-codon, and T loops). Further hydrogen bonds mediate the characteristic L-shaped molecular structure. tRNAs have two regions of fundamental functional importance: the anti-codon, which is responsible for specific mRNA codon recognition, and the 3' end, to which the tRNAs corresponding amino acid is attached (by aminoacyl-tRNA synthetases). tRNAs cope with the degeneracy of the genetic code in two manners: having more than one tRNA (with a specific anti-codon) for a particular amino acid; and 'wobble' base-pairing, i.e. permitting non-standard base-pairing at the 3rd anti-codon position.
Source: Rfam by way of RNAcentral